RNAcentral lists this ribosomal RNA (492 nucleotides) under uncultured bacterium. Its description in RNAcentral is "partial 16S ribosomal RNA". It matches the Rfam family "Bacterial small subunit ribosomal RNA", at positions 29 to 507 of the family's 1533-position model. The record is from RNAcentral.
AGUGAACGCUGGCGGUAGGCCUAACACAUGCAAGUCGAACGGCAGCACAGUAAGAGCUUGCUCUUACGGGUGGCGAGUGGCGGACGGGUGAGGAAUACAUCGGAAUCUACUUUUUCGUGGGGGAUAACGUAGGGAAACUUACGCUAAUACCGCAUACGACCUACGGGUGAAAGCAGGGGAUCUUCGGACCUUGCGCGAUUGAAUGAGCCGAUGUCGGAUUAGCUAGUUGGCGGGGUAAAGGCCCACCAAGGCGACGAUCCGUAGCUGGUCUGAGAGGAUGAUCAGCCACACUGGAACUGAGACCCGGUCCAGACUCCUACGGGUGGCAGCCGUGGGGAAUAUUGGACCAUGGGCGCAAGCCUGAUCCAGCCAUACCGCGUGGGUGAAGAAGGCCUUCGGGUUGUAAAGCCCUUUUGUUGGGAAAGAAAAGCAGCAGGUUAAUACCCCGCUGUUCUGACGGUACCCAAAGAAUAAGCACCGGCUAACUUCGUG